This 1040-nucleotide long non-coding RNA is filed under the name Apteryx haastii (Great spotted kiwi). RNAcentral describes it as "lncRNA (ENSAHAG00000018146.1)". Lineage: Eukaryota; Metazoa; Chordata; Aves; Apterygiformes; Apterygidae. The record is from RNAcentral.
AAAAAAAAUCCUGCUGGCGAGUGCGGCGCUGUGUGCGGCUGUGCUGGGGCUCCGCUCUGUGAGGCGGCUCCUCCAUGGGGCGGCCCCGUCCCCGCCGCCGUGCUCCAAGGCUGGCCCUGUGGUUCCCCUUUCUGGGAAGCCGGAGCGGCUCGGGGCGCCGCUGGGGUGGGGGCUGGACGGGGCCGCGGAGGCGGCUGUUGGCAACAGCCCCCUCUCGGGGAAGGGGGAGCUGGAGCUUGCGGCUUCCGCUCAUCCUCCCACGCUUGGCGUCGGCUCUUGCUCAGGGAAACCUCUCCCGGGAACGGGGCCUGGCAGGAUCCUGGCGGUGGGGCUUCUUUCCCUCCUGCUUGUGGGGGCCAGGGAUGGUUGGGGGGAUGGACACGGGGGGCUUGCACCCUGCCCUUGCUGCACGGGGGGUGGCUGUGCCAGAUGUGUCACCCCUCUGUUGCCAAGGGCUGGGCCGGGGUGCUUCCAGGCGGGAUGGAAAUUGCCCUUAUAAGGAGGAUGGUUUUAUUGCAACCACCUGCAGCAGGGCCGGCCGUGGCCCCCUGCUCCUCCCUGCUGGGAUGAGAUCAGCACGGCCGGGGAUAAAGCAUGCGGCUGCGGCGGCAGCGGGGGCCGGAGUGGCACCAGGAGYGAGCCCAGAGCCGAGCCGGCAGCGAGGCCGCCGUCCAGACGCCGCCGCAGCCCGUGCGCCCCGACGGACAGCGCCCUGGCCAUGCCGUCCCUGCCGCUGUCAUCUGCCAGCCUCCUGCUGCUCCUGGUGCUGGGGGGGACCCCGGGCAGCCGGGGGGGGUCCCUGCCGCCGCCCCCUGCCGCCGAGGGCAGUGGCACUGGGUCCCUGCUCUGCGACUACCAGCGCUGCCGGCACCUGCAGCCCCCCUGCACUGAGCUGCGUGGCCGCGGUGGCUGCCUCUGCCCCGGGCUCUCGGGGCCGGGGGUCCCCCCUGAGCCCCCCGAGCUGGUGGCCGUGGUGGUGACAGCGGCGGGCGCCAGCCUCCACUGGUGCGCCCCCGCCUCGGUGGUGCUCGAGUACCAUG